Drosophila virilis is the source of this 2105-nucleotide long non-coding RNA. RefSeq lists it as uncharacterized. The record is from RefSeq and is a predicted model, not a curated record. Lineage: Eukaryota; Metazoa; Arthropoda; Insecta; Diptera; Drosophilidae.
UGCCAAUGCUAUCUGCUCUCUCAGCUCCUGCAAAGUUCAGUGGCUCAUCCUCCAAGCUGCGUAACUGCAAGACGUCCAUGUCCAGAUAUUUUGAGACUGGAAGGAGAUAAACUGAAACUUUGUAUGGUAUACGAGUGUAUGUAUUUCUGAAAGUUACCUCGAGUCCACAAUCUAGGUGACCUUACAUACAUUCGAACAUUCUUCUCCGGGAUUUACUAUUUACUCAGCUUUUUUUUCAGCUACGUAAGUUCUAAAAGGCUGUUAAAUUAAAACCAGGGCAGAAUCCCGACUUUUAUCGUACCAGUUCGCAGUUUUAACCAAAUUCGUCACAAAAUUAUUCAGAACUAAUUUGGUUUAAUAACUCUUGCAAUAUUUCCAUCAUAUUGAAUUAUAUUGUUUAAGCUUUCCUUCAAUUUUUGAACAAACCAAAAGUUGAAUUAUGAGUUGAAUGGAACACUAGGUUCACGAACCGUUCCAGCUGUAAUUUUGUUUGAUGUACAGCCGUCUUAGAAUCUUCUAAAUAACAAAUAAGUUCCAAAUAUAGUGGAAAUCAAGAUUGACUACAAUGUGUGUAGAAUAUACGAAACUAAUUGGGUUAAGCUAAGAGUGGAUGUGUUGAAAAGAGCCAUGAUGCUCGCAAACUCAACGCGUAUAUCUGAUUACACGGGUUUUCGGGCUGUCGAAGAUAAGACAAAAUUGAGGACAAAUAAAAAUUAUCUGCUUUCAAAUCAGGUUAUACGAUGCCACUCGGAUGAGUGCAAAGCAAUUAGAAUUUGUUUACUCUGCUCUACACGAUACAUAGAUUUCGUAUGUCUUUCAAAUGUUCAAAUAAUAGACAAUUUCUGUGCAAUUGUUGUUACCAAAAGUGCUUCAAUCCGGCUGCAAUCAUUCCUGAAAGAAUAUAGCCAAGGCAUCAGUUGAAAACGAAAUGUGAGCAAUUUCACCUGGCCUAAUAAAAUAGUUCCCCCGCGGCCGCAAAGACCCUGGGACAAUGUUGCGCCGCCCACAUCAUAUAGGCCGUGAUUGAAUUAGUUUGAAGGGGCCAUUCCGUGACUACGUGAUUCCAUAUAUGCACCAUAAUCGAGUUCUCAGUGCGGGCACGCACGAAAAGCGCAGUCUCUGGCUGGAAAAAUAAUCUCCAUUCCUGCCAGGGAACCUCGUAAAAUGCGUUAACAUCGAACACUUUAAAUCCCUGACAGCGUUGCCGAUUAUUGACCAUGAGGGUAACAUUAUUCGUACCACAAAUCUCUGACAAAACGCGCACCAAGCCCAUGGGUCCAUUAUGGGCCCACGUCUCGCCCCUAUAAUUAACCUGGAAGUCCUGCAGAAAUAAUUCGCAAAGCUGAUGGCCAAACCCAUUGGGUUCCAAUCCUAUAACACCGUUGCCGAUGCUAUCUGCUCUCUCGGCACCUGCAAAGUUUAGUGGCUCUUCCUCCAAGCUGCGUAACACUAAAACAUCCAUGUCCAUAUAGACGCCGCCGAAACGAUAAAGUGUUAUUAAACGGAGUAGGUCGGAUAGGUGAAACAUCAGAUAACUAAGUGGUAUAUAAAUCAAAGCAGUAGCUAAAUUAUGAUGGAAAAUAAUUUUAAACCUUGACUUAAAUAGAUCGCCUUUCUUGAGCCAAUCCGCGAUAGGCGUAUCUUCUGCAUAGCGAUCCAGAUUUAUCGACCGAAAUUGCACAUUCUUGUAGCUUAGAAGGGCAUCAAUGAUGGGCACUGAUUCGUUACGGAUGGAGCAGGCAAACAGAACAAAUACUUGGAAUUUUGGAUUAUGCAAAGCGGCAGAUUCAAUGGCACAGGCCUGAUGCGCUUUAAUGCUACUCAUAUUGUACUGGGAUUCUGAACGGUAGCAGCUGCUCUCUAUAAAAAAUAUCGUUCGUCCUGGCGGAGGUUUUGAGCUGAACAGUAAAAUAUCCUCAACAGCUGCAAGCUUUCCAUUUGAAGUCAAGGAUUUUAUGCUGAACACGAGCACAACAGCUACGAGGACCGCCAGUAUCAGACGUCGUCUACAAAUCAGGAUCGAUAUGCCAAAUGAGCUACUUAUGAAAUGGGCUAAAAAAUACCAAAGAUGCUCUGCUUCUUGACACAUUUUUUUUUUCAUAAAC